CCUACGGGAUGCAGCAGUGAGGAAUAUUGGUCAAUGGACGAGAGUCUGAACCAGCCAAGUAGCGUGAAGGAUGACUGCCCUAUGGGUUGUAAACUUCUUUUAUAUGGGAAUAAAGCGAUGCACGUGUGCCUUUUUGUAUGUACUUUAUGAAUAAGGAUCGGCUAACUCCGUGCCAGCAGCCGCGGUAAUACGGAGGAUCCGAGCGUUAUCCGGAUUUAUUGGGUUUAACGGGAGCGUAGGUGGGUUGUUAAGUCAGUUGUGAAAGUUUGCGGCUCAACCGUAAAAUUGCAGUUGAAACUGGCAGGCUUGAGUACAGUAGAGGUGGGCGGAAUUCGUGGUGUAGCGGUGAAAUGCUUAGAUAUCACGAAGAACUCCGAUUGCGAAGGCAGUUCACUGGACUGCAACUGACACUGAGGCUCGAAAGUGUGGGUAUCAAACAGGAUUAGAUACCCCUGUAGUC
This 460-nucleotide ribosomal RNA is filed under the name uncultured bacterium. Its description in RNAcentral is "partial 16S ribosomal RNA". It matches the Rfam family "Bacterial small subunit ribosomal RNA", at positions 338 to 795 of the family's 1533-position model. The record is from RNAcentral.